This is a long non-coding RNA of Taeniopygia guttata (zebra finch), 1026 nucleotides long. The record is from Ensembl. NCBI's taxonomy places the organism in Eukaryota, Metazoa, Chordata, Aves, Passeriformes, Estrildidae.
AUGCAUGAAACCUCAAUCGUGGAAUAUCCUCCAACUUCUUCAACAAACAAAAGGCGAAGAUGUGGCAGAAAUUCAUUUCAGAAGUGGCAUUCGUGGCCUUAUAGGGAAGCGAAGAGGAUGGAGCUGACACCCCCGGCGGGAUCCUUACGUCCAGCUCCCGGCCUGGGCUCGCCGUGCCCUGGGCAGCUCCCGUCGGAGGUGGCGAUUCCAGCGACAAGCGGGCACCAGAAAGCCGCCGGUGCCCGCGGCAGGCCACAUCACCCUCUCUCCCCUGAGCAAGCGGAUCAGCCUCGGGAAAGGAAGAUGCUCCUGCAAGAGGGCGGGCAGCGAUUCCCGCGGCUCGUCCGGGCAUCCCCCGAGCCGGGAGCUGUAUCCCCGCCGGGCGCGGUGUGUGCCCGCCGCCGCCCCCGCAGUCCCGCAGGCUGCCCAGCACGGAGGGGAUGCUCGCCCGCCGCUCGCCCAGCCCGGCCCGGCCCGGCCCGGCCCGGCCCGCCGCCCUACCUCGCCCGCCCGCGCCGCCGGCCGUGGAGUUGCCGCAGCCCAUGGGCGCUGCCCGGGCCGGCGCCGCGCCCGCCGGUGCGCUGCGGUCACGGGAGACAGCCGGCGGCGGGCGGAGCCGGGUGGGAGAUAAAGCCGCGGGGACCCCUCCUCCUCCUCUUCCUCCUCCUCCUCCUCUCCCCACCCAUCGCCCGGGAAACCGCCGGCCCCGGGCGCCGCCGCCCGGCCCCGGCCCCGGCCCCGGCCCCGGCCCCGGCCCCGGCCCCUCACCGCACCCCCCGCUCGUCCCCGGGGAGCGCCGCACCCCGGGCUGCCCCUCGCCCGCACGGAGAUAUGGCUCAGCCCAGGCUCAGGCCAGCAGGACUCCGAACGACCCCCACCCGCAGGCAACGAGCACAGAGCCUCCCCGGCAGUGGAGAUGCUCCUUGGCUCACGCGUUUCACGGGAGCUUUGGGACACCCGUCAUUCGCCAAGGGGAACAUCGGCCUAACCACAGGACCGGGCUGCAAACCCUAUAUCUGCUAUCAA